This 253-nucleotide ribosomal RNA is filed under the name uncultured bacterium. Its description in RNAcentral is "partial 16S ribosomal RNA". It matches the Rfam family "Bacterial small subunit ribosomal RNA", at positions 524 to 776 of the family's 1533-position model. The record is from RNAcentral.
UACGAAGGGGGCUAGCGUUGUUCGGAAUUACUGGGCGUAAAGCGCACGUAGGCGGUCUUUUAAGUCGGUGGUGAAAUCCUGGAGCUCAACUCCAGAACUGCCUUCGAUACUGGAAGACUUGAGUCCGGGAGAGGUGAGUGGAACUGCGAGUGUAGAGGUGAAAUUCGUAGAUAUUCGCAAGAACACCAGUGGCGAAGGCGGCUCACUGGCCCGGUACUGACGCUGAGGUGCGAAAGCGUGGGGAGCAAACAGG